Molecule: long non-coding RNA, 2411 nt
Filed under: Jatropha curcas
Lineage: Eukaryota; Viridiplantae; Streptophyta; Magnoliopsida; Malpighiales; Euphorbiaceae
Description: long non-coding RNA (JCUR_LNC002119)
Source: RNAcentral
UUAAAGGCUCAUUUAUUUUAUAAUCAUUCAUCUUAUGAAGCCCAAGUCCAUAUUUCAUAAUAAAAUAAAUAAGUGCCAUGAUCCAAAUAAAUUUCAGGAGAAAUAAUAAUAUAAAUACAAAUAUUACAUCCAGCCCGUAGCAUAUAAAUAUAAUCAAUACUCAUAAUCGGACCCAUCCAUGGCACCAUCAGACCAUAUUGUCAUAAUUGAUGGGCUUGUUCCUUCAUAAGAACCGACAAAGACUUUAAAUUUAUUACAAAAAUAUUGGAGUAGCUAACUCCCCAUUCAUACCCAAUUAGUCCUAAGUAACUGCAAAGGUUGGAUUAUUUAUACAGAUAGAGUUUUGAUACAAAAAGAAGUUCAAAAGCAGUUAAAAUUUACAUUAAGGCUCUGUUGAUGAAGGGGGAACAAAGCUAUUUGUCAAAAGAGGAAAAAGAGCUUCUUCCUGAAAAAUGUAGAUACAACGGGAAUGAGUAUAAAACUCAGUGAAUAAUAAUACAUAAUAUUAAAUCCAAACAAUCAAGCGAUAUGUUCCUAGACUCUUCUAAUUGAGCAUUCACCAGUCAUACAAUGUCAAAUACAGCACCCACAAAUAAUAACCACCAUAAUGCACACCUUAACAGGACCAUGCUCACCCGCAAGCAUGCUUUAACGUUAAUAAUAUAAUCCCAAGGUCCUGUGACUUAUGUAACCAAGGAGCCCACCCUUGUUCAGGCAAAUCAGAUUCAGGUAUAAAUAUUUUUUAUAAAGCAUUUUUAUUUAUCAUAAGAAUUUUUCCAUAAUAAACAUUAAAUUCCGGGUACAAAAGGGGGGGCGCCACUCCCACCGCUUAUGGCCCAUAGAAGGCAUCCUCACCAUGCCCGUGCUCUCAACCCAGAUGAUCCACGUCGUCCCAACUUCCACACAACAAUCACAUAACAUUAUACCAAGUAAUUUAUUCACAAUCUUAAUCAAUGCACAUCCAUCCAUUUAUAUAUAUAGCAUAUAUAUAUUUGUACUUGAAAAUAAACAGAUGCAAAAUUUAAAAUAAAUUAUGCCUGCAUGAAUUUGGUAAAGCAUUAUAUAUUAUUACUCAUAGAGAGAUCCGAAAAUCUAGCAUUGUUGGGCACCAGGAGCGGAGGAGGAAGAAGGUCUCGCUCUAUCACCAACUAGAAGAAAUAAACAAGCUAAAAUUAAUAACUAUUUUUGCUUAUUGAUAGAAUUUGAAUUCCUGUAGUUUGAAUAAUAUUCUAAAAAUUCUAUCAAAAAGGCGGAAGGGUUUCCCCUAAAAGUUUUGACUUUUCCCCUAAUAAAAUAUCCACAAAUCACAUUAAUUUAUAAAGCCCAUCCAUUGAGCAACAUUCACAUCAAUGAAACCCGUCCACCGUUAACAAUAUUCAUCAAAAUCUCAUCCUUAAUAUCCAACCAUACAUUUUGAUUUAAACAACAUCAAUAUCCAAUAAAAUUUACAUUUCCAACUUCAAAUACAUAUGUAUCAAAUACUUCAAUGACUGAAGAUUCUAACUAAUACUUAAGUACAGCUUGUUAACAUACAUAUUAUAUACUACAAAGCUUAAUUUUGUUUUAAAAAGGGAUAAAAUAUUCUUUAUAUAUAAACCUAUCUAAAUAAUUUAAAUCUUAUUAUUUUAUUGUACCUACUUUGAUAAUUAAUCAACAUAAGUUUGCUAAGAUCACAAAAUCUAUAUAUAACUCACAUUUCUGUAGUUUUUAGGCUAUAACACCAAAUUUCUAAAUUUGCGUCAAAUAAUUAUUCGAAGGUCAAAUGAAUUCGGAUUGCAAAACUAACUGUAUAUUCAUAAUCUACAUAAAAAGGGCAACAUUCUGCCUCUUCAAAGCUCUGGCCACCGGAACCAUCUGGCCACCGGCAUCGCCGACGUACUUGGUGGUUAGAGCGGUGGCAAGUCCGAAAUCAAGCAAUCUCACCACGACUUUGCUCUAAAUUUAACGUAGAGUGUCAAUUUGAGGUCAAUUUCUACUAAUUAAAUCGAUUUAAUCCAAAUUCCCAAAUAAUUUUUAAUUAAAAAUCUAAUUUUCUAAAUCCUUCAAAACUUCAUUCAAAGAUCAAAUUAAUUAAAGAAGAACUAACUAAAAGUGUUAAUGGUUAGGUUUCAACUAACCUGAGCGAAAGAAGUCGCCGGAGUAGCUCGUCGUCGUCGAAAAAUCGAGAGAAGAGAGAGAGAGAGAGAGAUAGUCAGGUUUCUUUCCCGUCACCGGUAAUCUCUUUUCCAGCCGGUAGGAGUGGAGUUAUCGACGGAUUGAGAAGGGAGAAGGAAGGUAUCGAUGAAGAGAAGGAGAAAUGGAAAGAAAUAAAGAAAAGAACAGAAAAUAAAGGAAGUAAAGGUAAUAAUAAUAAAAAUUUGAUUAAAAUUGGGGAAGGGAAUUCACGUCGUUUUGGGUAGUCUAGGAUCUUC